This 201-nucleotide ribosomal RNA is filed under the name uncultured Lactobacillus sp. RNAcentral describes it as "partial 16S ribosomal RNA". It matches the Rfam family "Bacterial small subunit ribosomal RNA", at positions 161 to 354 of the family's 1533-position model. Lineage: Bacteria; Bacillati; Bacillota; Bacilli; Lactobacillales; Lactobacillaceae. The record is from RNAcentral.
UGCUAAUACCGGAUAACAACAGAUGAUGCCUAUCAACUGUUUAAAAGAUGGUUCUGCUAUCACUCUUGGAUGGACCUGCGGUGCAUUAGCUAGUUGGUAGGGUAACGGCCUACCAAGGCGAUGAUGCAUAGCCGAGUUGAGAGACUGAUCGGCCACAUUGGGACUGAGACACGGCCCAAACUCCUACGGGAGGCAGCAGAC